UAAAAGUGCGUACUCUUUUCAUUCCCCUUUGACCUCACGCAUGUGUCCGCCCACCGGCAUUCCACUUCCGUGUUUACAGAAGCCGCACGGCAGCACGGACAGUCGCGCAUACAACCGCGGACCUGCGCGCCUCGCUAUAAAACCGAUGGUAAGUCGACUUCCUCUCUUUUGAGCACUAGAGCUCCGUAGCUGUAGCUUAACAUAGCCUUCUGUUAUAGGCCGCAGUGUAGCUCUCUAGCUGAGCCUCUCUCCUCCAUAGGAGCUGCAUUUCAGCCCCAAAGUGGUGAGUAAUGCCUGUGCCUUUGGUGUGAGGGCUCCAGUAUUCCAAUCUAAUAUUUCGUCCUCCACUUUUUACUCCAGACGCUGCUGUUUUGCUCCACCUCGCUACACGCUACUACUCUGCUGCGUUGCAGCGAUUGUUUACGCUGUGUUCUACCUAUACCAUCAUUCACCUAUCCUACCCGCUGCUGCAACGUUACGGCGCUCGCUCUGCCGGCAUUUAGACCUCGCUAACACACUCCUGGCUGCGGUUCCAUUGUGGUCGUGUGGACCACUUUCCCUGGUCCAUCUACAAAGUGCUGCUCGGUCUGAUAUUACACCCACAAGGAAUCUAGCGCCUGUCCUAAGGAGGUGGCGCUGCAACGCCGUGUGGAACGUUAUCCCUUUGGGAAGCGACGCACGGGAUUAUUGACUAUGGACUGAUUUCUUUUUCAAUUGUAAUUUUAAACUUUUGUUUUCCUAGGAGCUGACUACCGAGCCUAGUGGUGGUGGUGGAUCCCCUGGUGGUGGCCCCUUUUUGGUUUGUGGUGCACUUUCACUAUUUAUUGCUUUACUAUUUUGUUGUGUUUUGAUAUUAGUUAGGUUGUCCCACCCACGGUUGUCCCCCCUCCAUCCACAGGUAAACCCUGCUCCUAGGUUCUCACGUUUGUUUUGUAUGUAUAUAGAAAACUUGGUACCUUUUUAUAAACAAACGCAUUUGAUAACGUUAAAAUUUUAACUUUUCUACUAUCAAUAAAGCUCGUCAAAUCGAACUGAACAGUCUCCGGCCUCUCAGUAAAAGUGAACCUGUGUGCUGUACCCCAUAUUCUCCAGGCGAAAUUCCUGGUGUGGCGUUGUCGGCCCUGGUACAGUAGCAUUAAGCGCUGUACCUGGCAAUCGAUCAAAUUUACACCCCCCUC
This 1178-nucleotide long non-coding RNA is filed under the name Neogobius melanostomus (round goby). RNAcentral describes it as "lncRNA (ENSNMLG00000024090.1)". The record is from RNAcentral. Lineage: Eukaryota; Metazoa; Chordata; Actinopteri; Gobiiformes; Gobiidae.